CCUGUUACGCUCUCCUGGAGGAGAGGUUUUUCCCACACAGUCCUGAAUGUCAGAGGUUCAUACAGGGUGGGAAAAACCUCCAGUUAAGCUACGGUGGUUGUGGAGUCUGCGGUGUCCGCUGUGGUGCUUAUAGUCCUCGGCGUCAGCUAGGAACCAUGCGUUGGUGGAGGUGCCCAGUCAGGGUGCCAGGUGAUCCAUCACACUAACAAAUCACUUUUUUUCAUUUUCAGCUGCUCCACACAAAAAGAUCGCUU
This is a non-coding RNA of Pelobates cultripes (western spadefoot toad), 254 nucleotides long. NCBI's taxonomy places the organism in Eukaryota, Metazoa, Chordata, Amphibia, Anura, Pelobatidae. The record is from the annotation of a GenBank genome assembly.